CACUCUUGUGCGCAGUGGGCGCGGCGGGGCUUUGGUUUGUGCCGGGCCAGGCGAUCAUCUGGACGCUACUGUUCGGCUUCGGUACAGGCGCGAC
Molecule: transfer RNA, 94 nt
Filed under: Salmonella enterica subsp. enterica serovar Thompson
Lineage: Bacteria; Pseudomonadati; Pseudomonadota; Gammaproteobacteria; Enterobacterales; Enterobacteriaceae
Also listed under: 3 other names
Description: tRNA-Gln(ttg)
Source: RNAcentral